This 54-nucleotide transfer RNA is filed under the name Macropostrongyloides dissimilis. RNAcentral describes it as "tRNA-Ser". Lineage: Eukaryota; Metazoa; Nematoda; Chromadorea; Rhabditida; Strongylidae. The record is from RNAcentral.
AAACUAUUUUUAACCUUGUUUUGAAAACAAGGUUUAAGAGUUAAUCUUGUAGUU